AACGAACGCUGGCGGCAGGCUUAACACAUGCAAGUCGAACGGCUGUAGCAAUACAGCAGUGGCAGACGGGUGAGUAACACGUGGGAACCUUCCUAGGGGUACGGAACAACUCAGGGAAACUUGAGCUAAUACCGUAUACGUCCGUAAGGAGAAAGAUUCAUCGCCCCUAGACGGGCCCGCGUCGGAUUAGGUAGUUGGUGGGGUAACGGCCUACCAAGCCUACGAUCCGUAGCUGAUCUGAGAGGAUGAUCAGCCACACUGGGACUGAGACACGGCCCAGACUCCUACGGGAGGCAGCAGUGGGGAAUCUUGGACAAUGGACGAAAGUCUGAUGCAGCGACGCCGCGUGUGGGAUGACUGCCCUCGGGUUGUAAA
This 375-nucleotide ribosomal RNA is filed under the name uncultured bacterium. RNAcentral describes it as "bacterial SSU rRNA". It matches the Rfam family "Bacterial small subunit ribosomal RNA", at positions 29 to 429 of the family's 1533-position model. The record is from RNAcentral.